RNAcentral lists this unclassified non-coding RNA (469 nucleotides) under Hevea brasiliensis (rubber tree). Lineage: Eukaryota; Viridiplantae; Streptophyta; Magnoliopsida; Malpighiales; Euphorbiaceae. The record is from RNAcentral.
GUAGAAAAGAAAAGAAAAAUAAAAUAAAAGAAAAUACCUAAUUAUGACACCAUAUGAUCUCAUUAAAAACCUAGUUCUAAAAAUUUUAAAUAUUACAAAAUUAUUGUAAACAACUUAGAAAGUAUCAAGGAAGUGAUAAAAAGACUAGUAGAAGAAUUAUAACUUAAAUAACUUAACAAACGUAAUUUUCAUUAGAAUAUAAGUAUAAGUAUAAAUUUUAGAUUUAUUUGUACAUUAUAUAAAUGAUUGUUGUAAACUUAUGAAAGAAGUGAUUCUAGAGAGCAACAUAAAUGACGAAAGAUAUAUUAUAUGGAAAAUUUCACAUGAACCCAGUAAAAUUCUUAAGUAUAGAAAAUAUGCUCCAAUUAUUUUUACUUGUUAUAUUUUUUCCUUGUCAUAUUACUUGUUAUAAAUGAGUACAGAACUGUUUGAGGAUAUGAUUGAGACUAAGGAGAAAGUGAAGUAGGAU